This 1345-nucleotide ribosomal RNA is filed under the name uncultured bacterium. RNAcentral's name for it is "bacterial SSU rRNA". It matches the Rfam family "Bacterial small subunit ribosomal RNA", at positions 28 to 1381 of the family's 1533-position model. The record is from RNAcentral.
GAUGAACGCUGGCGGCGUGCUUAACACAUGCAAGUCGAACGAUGACUUCUGUGCUUGCACAGAGUGAUUAGUGGCGAACGGGUGAGUAACACGUGAGUAACCUGCCCUUAACUUCGGGAUAAGCCUGGGAAACCGGGUUUAAUACCGGAUACGACCUCCUGGCGCAUGCCAUGGUGGUGGAAAGCUUUAGCGGUUUUGGAUGGACUCGCGGCCUAUCAGCUUGUUGGUUGGGGUAAUGGCCCACCAAGGCGACGACGGGUAGCCGGCCUGAGAGGGUGACCGGCCACACUGGGACUGAGACACGGCCCAGACUCCUACGGGAGGCAGCAGUGGGGAAUAUUGCACAAUGGGCGAAAGCCUGAUGCACCGACGCCGCGUGAGGGAUGACGGCCUUCGGGUUGUAAACCUCUUUCAGCAGGGAAGAAGCGAAAGUGACGGUACCUGCAUAAGAAGCGCCCGCUAACUACCUGCCAGCAGCCGCGGUAAUACGUAGGGCGCCAGCGUUAUCCGGAAUUUUUGGGCGUAAAGAGCUCGUAGGCGGUUUGUCGCGUCUGCUGUGAAGCCCGGGGCUCAACCCCGGGUCUGCAGUGGGUACGGGCAGACUAGAGUGCAGUAGGGGAGACUGGAAUUCCUGGUGUAGCGGUGAAAUGCGCAGAUAUCAGGAGGAACACCGAUGGCGAAGGCAGGUCUCUGGGCUGUAACUGACGCUGAGGAGCGAAAGCAUGGGGAGCGAACAGGAUUAGAUACCCUGGUAGUCCAUGCCGUAAACGUUGGGCACUAGGUGUGGGGGACAUUCCACGUUUUCCGCGCCGUAGCUAACGCAUUAAGUGCCCCGCCUGGGGAGUACGGCCGCAAGGCUAAAACUCAAAGGAAUUGACGGGGGCCCGCACAAGCGGCGGAGCAUGCGGAUUAAUUCGAUGCAACGCGAAGAACCUUACCAAGGCUUGACAUGAACCGGUAAGACCUGGAAACAGGUCCCCCACUUGUGGCCGGUUUACAGGUGGUGCAUGGUUGUCGUCAGCUCGUGUCGUGAGAUGUUGGGUUAAGUCCCGCAACGAGCGCAACCCUCGUUCUAUGUUGCCAGCGGGUUAUGCCGGGGACUCAUAGGAGACUGCCGGGGUCAACUCGGAGGAAGGUGGGGACGACGUCAAAUCAUCAUGCCCCUUAUGUCUUGGGCUUCACGCAUGCUACAAUGGCCGGUACAAAGGGUUGCGAUACUGUGAGGUGGAGCUAAUCCCAAAAAGCCGGUCUCAGUUCGGAUUGAGGUCUGCAACUCGACCUCAUGAAGUUGGAGUCGCUAGUAAUCGCAGAUCAGCAACGCUGCGGUGAAUACGUUCCCGGGCCU